AACGAACGCUGGCGGCAGGCUUAACACAUGCAAGUCGAACGGGCACCUUCGGGUGUCAGUGGCAGACGGGUGAGUAACGCGUGGGAACGUACCCUUCGGUUCGGAAUAACCCAGGGAAACUUGGGCUAAUACCGGAUACGUCCGUAAGGAGAAAGAUUUAUUGCCGAAGGAUCGGCCCGCGUCGGAUUAGCUAGUUGGUGGGGUAAUGGCCCACCAAGGCGACGAUCCGUAGCUGGUCUGAGAGGAUGANCAGCCACACUGGGACUGAGACACGGCCCAGACUCCUACGGGAGGCAGCAGUGGGGAAUAUUGGACAAUGGGCGAAAGCCUGAUCCAGCCAUGCCGCGUGAGUGAAGAAGGCCUUAGGGUUGUAAAGCUCUUUCAGCGGGAAGAUAAUGACGGUACCCGCAGAAGAAGUCCCGGCUAACUUCGUGCCAG
This 438-nucleotide ribosomal RNA is filed under the name uncultured bacterium. RNAcentral describes it as "bacterial SSU rRNA". It matches the Rfam family "Bacterial small subunit ribosomal RNA", at positions 29 to 511 of the family's 1533-position model. The record is from RNAcentral.